CCUACGGGGAGCAGCAGUAGGGAAUAUUGGUCAAUGGGCGCGAGCCUGAACCAGCCAAGUCGCGUGAGGGAUGACGGUCCUACGGAUUGUAAACCUCUUUUGCCGGGGAGCAAGCGUGCGUUCGUGAACGCGCGUCGAGAGUACCCGGAGAAAAAGCAUCGGCAAACUCCGUGCCAGCAGCCGCGGUAAUACGGAGGAUGCGAGCGUUAUCCGGAUUUAUUGGGUUUAAAGGGUGCGUAGGCGGGAUGCCAUGUCAGCGGUAAAAAUGCGGUGCUCAACGCCGUCGAGCCGUUGAAACUGGCUUUGUUGAGUGGGCGAGAGGUAUGCGGAAUGCGUGGUGUAGCGGUGAAAUGCAGAGAGAGCACGCAGAACACUGAUGGCGAAGGCAGCAAACCGGCGCCCUACUGACGCUGAGGCACGAAAGCGUGGGUAUCGAACAGGAUGAGAUACCCGUGUAGUC
RNAcentral lists this ribosomal RNA (460 nucleotides) under uncultured bacterium. RNAcentral describes it as "partial 16S ribosomal RNA". It matches the Rfam family "Bacterial small subunit ribosomal RNA", at positions 338 to 795 of the family's 1533-position model. The record is from RNAcentral.